GCAGCAGUGAGGAAUAUUGGGCAAUGGACGCAAGUCUGACCCAGCCAUGCCGCGUGAAGGAUGAAGGCGUUCUGCGUUGUAAACUUCUUUUAUUAGGGAAGAAACCUCCGUUUUCUAAUGGAGCCGACGGUACCUAACGAAUAAGCACCGGCUAACUCCGUGCCAGCAGCCGCGGUAAUACGGAGGGUGCAAGCGUUAUCCGGAUUCACUGGGUUUAAAGGGUGUGUAGGCGGAUAUUUAAGUCAGUGGUGAAAUCUCCAGGCUCAACCUGGAAACUGCCAUUGAUACUAUUUAUCUUGAAUUCUGUUGAGGUGGGCGGAAUACAUCAUGUAGCGGUGAAAUGCUUAGAUAUGAUGUAGAACACCGAUUGCGAAGGCAGCUCACUAAGCAGACAUUGACGCUGAGGCACGAAAGCGUGGGGAUCAAACAGGAUUAGAUAC
Molecule: ribosomal RNA, 440 nt
Filed under: uncultured Edaphobaculum sp.
Lineage: Bacteria; Pseudomonadati; Bacteroidota; Chitinophagia; Chitinophagales; Chitinophagaceae
Description: bacterial SSU rRNA
Rfam family: Bacterial small subunit ribosomal RNA
Source: RNAcentral